UCUCUUCCUCUCUCUUUUCCUCUCCCUCUCUCUUCCUUUCUCUCUUUCUCUCUCUCACGACUACUACUUCAUUUUUUUUCUCCCUCUUCUCCCUCCUCUUCUUCUUCCUUCUUCCUUUUCUUCUUUACAAACCGUAAUGAUACUCUUUGUAAUACUUGGCUAAUGAAACCCUAAUCAAACUCAUAACUAUGCACAAAAUUAGGGUUUCAGAAAUCCUAUGAAAAUGAAAAAGACGCAUAAAAUUAGGGUUUCAAAAAUCCUAUGAAAAUGAAGAAGAUGCAUAAAAUUAAGGUUCUUUUGGUUUGAUCUAUGGAUUUCUAACUUCUUCGUCAACAGUAACAAAUGAUUUGUGGGUAAAAUAGAAAGGUUGUUUGGCCCAAGACUCUAAACCGUCUUAUGGAGAAUGGUUUAUGGAUGUUUUCAUGUUACUGAUCAAAAUGGGAAAAAGUGUCCAAGCCCUUAUACAAUUUGGUUGUUUGUCAAGGAUCCUUAGAAGAGCAUAUUAAGGGAUGAGAACUCUAAUGCCGAUAAUUUUUUCUUUGGUGCCUCUGCCAAUUUUAUUGCCGGAACUGCAGCAGGUUGUACAUCACUUAUCUUGGUAUACCCCUUUGAUAUUGCACACACCCGCCUUCCUUUUCCUAGAGCAUUCUACGGGGCACAUUAUUGGAUGUGCCGUACGUGGUGACGAGCCUUAUGCUGAAGACAGAGUUAGUAGAGUGAACGCAUCAAGGCGGUGAGAAUGAUUAAUAUCUUUCUGCAUCAGCCAUCACUCCAUGAUUAAUAUCUCGGGAAGCAGGAAAGUAUGGAGGCAACUGUUGAAGUUUCAAAGAGUUUUAAUGAAAAAUUAGGAAGUAUUGUGACAUGACACUACUGUCAUGCUCCUAUGCUGGAAUUGGGAAUGUUCUCAAGGUGCCAAAUCUUUUGCGUCAUUGUUUACAUCAUCAUGACAAAGGUGAAAUGCACCAAGGUCCAGUAAUUCUUGGAAUUUAUAUGGUAGAAUUGGCGGAAGAAUUAGGUGUUGAGAUGGAUAUUCGAUCGUUAGAACAUCUUCUACAGUAUGGAGAGCAGAAUAUUUGGUGAGCUGUUCCUGUGGCACUUGGUCUACUGUGCAUAUCAAAUCCAAAGGUAAAAUAGAUUUUCCUCCCUGCUAUUUAUCAGUGUGGAACAUAUUAUGACCUUCUUCUGAAAAAUGAUAGAUGGUAGACAUUUGUUGCAAUCUCAAGCAAGAUUUUGUGUUUGUUUACUUUGCUGAUUGGUAACUCUUAAAUUGAUAGUCACAGGUUAAUGUUAUGGAUACUUAAGCAGACUUGGCCAUGAUACUGAUUUAGAAGUAGCAGUGGCUAAAUGGCUAAUCAUCAUACGACAAUAUUAUGUAACUGAAAAGGAACAGAUUAUUACAAAGUGAAGCAUUCUUUGUUUGUUUGCAAAUAGCUAACAGUUAUGUGCCAUGGUAGAAAUUAAAGAAGCAAGUAUGUGCCAUGGAUAUUAUUAACUAGCUAACAGUUUUCAUGUAGCCUAGACAAAGUAUUAACCUAAAAAAUUAUUAUUCUGUACAUGUGCUUUGUUAGUUAUUUUGGCCUAAAAUUUAUAUUUGCUUGCCUGCUUGCCCCCGUAUAUUUUUGGGUUCUCAGCAUGAAGUACUAUAGUGUUGGGACAUGAAUCAUAAAAAAGCUAACAAAUGUUUUAUUUUAAAAAAUUUGUACAAAUGAUGAAAAUUGAAAUGGAGGGACAUGAAUCAUAUAAAGUUUAUAGUUGUUGGGGCUAUUGCUCUCAAGGGUGUUGGAGGGAUUUUUUUCAUACUCCGCAGUUCGCUUGGAGCUAUACUUCUGGUUUGUAGUUUGAAUUCUCUCCAUGCAAUUUAGUUUAUAAAUUUAUUUUCAAAUUUGUUGUUUAAUAUGGUUUUUUCUCCCUUUAGCUUUUGCUUCAGUUGAUUAACACUCCAAUAUUGUAUGAUUUCUUUUGUUCAACCAUAACUCAAUUGUGUUUGGAUCCUUUUCUUUUUCCAUCUGAUUGAAUUUUGUUUGUUUCCCACUGAGUCAAAUUUAACAAUGGAAACAUAACAUGAACUUGUCACAAAUAAAUUUGUUGUUGUGGUUCAUAAUCCAUUGGUAAGUGUGAGAAGCUAAUAUUGAAAUCCACAGUUUUACCCUUGCUGGUCAAUAAAUCUAAAACAAAGGUUGUAAAAAGUUAGAAGCUUAGAAUAAGAAUUCCGAAUCUGGAAAUACAUUUACCUUAGAAUUCAUCUUGAUUUUCCAUUAUUUGCUUUCAAUCUCCAUUAACAUAAGAGAAUUGCUCAUUUGCACCAAGAUACUGCCAUCAGCUCGGUUAGCAUAACAGAUGUGGGGAUGCCCAGGGUCUUGUACCGUAAGUUUUGUUUAAAAUUGUAACCUUCUAUAUGUUUUUAUCAUCUUUUUCUAUUUAGAUGGCCAAGUUGUUGAACCUUAACAUUUAAUGGGUUUUAAUGGUGAUUAUCAAUGACUAUAACCCCUUAUAUUUUAUUUUCAUGUGUACACAAACUCAACAUCACUUAGAGAUGAAUAUCCUAUUCCUAAGAAUGCAAUACUUUGUGGUAGGGUUAUCGGAACACAUACACGAACCAAAUUCACUUGGCUUUUUAAAAUAUAUGAAAUGAAAUACCGUUACGUGAUUUUAAAAUCAUAUACCAGUAUAAAUUUCAUAUAUAAAUUAUUAUAAAAAUAUGUACUAAUUUCUUUUUAAUAAAUAUAAAUUAUUAUAAAAAUAUGCAAUUUCUUUUUAAUAAAUGUAACUAAAUAUAAUUAAUCAAUAUCAAUAUGAAAAGAAACUUUUUUUGGAUUUGUUUCUCAAUAUCAAUAUAAUUAAUCAAGAUCAAUAUCAAUUUUUUGGAUUUUUGUAAUUAGAUAUAAU
Molecule: long non-coding RNA, 2886 nt
Organism: Vicia villosa (hairy vetch)
Lineage: Eukaryota; Viridiplantae; Streptophyta; Magnoliopsida; Fabales; Fabaceae
Exons: 8
Source: RefSeq, a predicted model, not a curated record